AAUGUGUACGAGCCUCUAACUGGUACAGUAUCACGCUUCUAUUUAUAGACGCACAUUAAUUUAAAGUUUAAAGGACUUGGGACUAUUGUACGCUUAAAACUGCUGACAGAGUAAAAUAAUGGACAAGAGAAACAGCUUCUGGAGUGAAUUUGAAAGGUCGGCAAGUUCAAAGUCCAGAAGUGAUAAGGAACGAAGAGAUGCCGAAAAAUUAAAGGAAUCACUGGAUAAAGAAAAAGGUUAUGGUAAACAACUCACCAAACAUGUUACAUGUGGAUUUACAAGUAGGCCGAUUGGACCACGUCCGAAAAAAUAAAAAUAAGAAUAGUAAAAGUAAAAGUAAAGCUUAAUUUGUAAUUUUUCUUACAUUUGUUAUUACAUUUACAGUGUAAUUCUGCCAUAUGCAGUAUGUAUAUAUAAACAAGGUAUCACGUUUUCGAAUUAUUGUUCUUUUUUAUCAUUCAUGUCUAACAUUGACCCUUUAUUUACAUCGGGUUUCAUUUUUCUUCAAAACAUUUUUUGGACUUAACAUGCUGUGCUUUUGUGUAAACCAUUAAAGCUAGAUUUCUGGAUACUAAUUUGAAUUUCAUAAUUUUUAUUAUAUAAAGUAGAAGGUCCGGUAAGGGCUAAUUUUGGCCUAAAAUUCGAAGGUCAUCUGAUGAAAGAUUUUUGACAUUUUUUAAACACUCAAGUGCCUACUUCAUUCGAUUCAAAUGGUUUUUGUAAAAGAUUUGGACUGACUUGGUCAUUAAAAACGCUCAAAUUCAAGCUUAAAUAUGAAAAAUCUAUCAAAUAUGCCAUUUAACGUUUAUUUUCAGGUGGUUUUUAUUAAAGGCAGUGCUUUAAUGCCUUUCUGGUUGCCGGGUUAAUCUUUCCUUCCGCGAUAUCCAACUUAUCUACGUGGGGGGUCAUUAGGCUACAAGUAGAUCCGGAAAUGUUGAAUUCUCUCCUCUUCUUUUUGUGAUAUAAAAUGUUUUUUGUUUCAUUUCAUUUACAUUGGGAAAUAAAGAAACGAUCAUUGUG
Molecule: long non-coding RNA, 1020 nt
Organism: Mytilus californianus (California mussel)
Lineage: Eukaryota; Metazoa; Mollusca; Bivalvia; Mytilida; Mytilidae
Exons: 4
Source: RefSeq, a predicted model, not a curated record